GACGAACGCUGGCGGCGUGCUUAACACAUGCAAGUCGAACGGAAAGGCCCUGCUUUUGUGGGGUGCUCGAGUGGCGAACGGGUGAGUAACACGUGAGUAACCUGCCCUUGACUUUGGGAUAACUUCAGGAAACUGGGGCUAAUACCGGAUAGGAGCUCCGGCUGCAUGGUGGGGGUUGGAAAGUUUCGGCGGUUGGGGAUGGACUCGCGGUUUAUCAUCUUGUUGGUGGGGUAGUGGCUUAACAAGGCUUUGACGGGUAGCCGGCCUGAGCGGGUGACCGGCCACUUUGAGUAUGAGACGCGGCACAGUCCCCUUCGGGACGAAGCAGGGGAGCAUAUUGCACCAUGGGCGGGAGUGUGAUGCAGCCCCGCCGCGUGUGAGGUGGCGGUGUUCGGGGUGUACCCCUUUUUCCUCUGACACGAAGCGUGUGUCGGUAUAGUGUGUAAAAACACCGGGUAACUCCGUG
RNAcentral lists this ribosomal RNA (466 nucleotides) under uncultured bacterium. RNAcentral describes it as "partial 16S ribosomal RNA". It matches the Rfam family "Bacterial small subunit ribosomal RNA", at positions 28 to 507 of the family's 1533-position model. The record is from RNAcentral.